Molecule: long non-coding RNA, 1286 nt
Organism: Gasterosteus aculeatus aculeatus (three-spined stickleback)
Lineage: Eukaryota; Metazoa; Chordata; Actinopteri; Perciformes; Gasterosteidae
Source: Ensembl
GUUUUGAGUAAACAUGUGAUCUCUGUUCCCCUUUUUAAAUAAAGCAUAUUAGAUAUUCAUACAAUUGAGAGGCGAUAUCAUCCAACAACACACCCACACACACACUUAUAUAAAAACUUGCAGUCGGCAAAUGAGUUUCACACACUGCAAUCGAUCAACUCUACAGGUGUAACACCAGGCCGUUACCGCCGCCGCCGCUGUCACCCUGGAUGCUUGGAUGCAUGACAUCACCAAAUGACACAUAUCACUCUCCGCUGCUGCCUCUCUGCUUUCAUUUCUCCUUCUCGCGCUCCAGUCAUCUGCGCACUCAUCCACUUUCCUGCAUUGUAGGCUUCCCGAGGAGGAGAUGAGCUCGAUAAAAGGAGGGACGAUCUGAGAACAGUGAUUGUUGGCUCACAUGAUGUGCUCUAGGGGGACGGGGGGGAUUUCCUUUAGUAGAGUUAAAAGGUUUUCUAAGUUAGUUAAUGCUGUUGACUUUAUGCAUCCAAAAAACACAAUUAAUUGUUUCCGUAAGAAGAACAGCAAGAAUUGAAAAUUGAAGAAUUGUGUGCUUUGUUAUUGGUUGAGGCCUUUUUUUUUAAUGUAACCACACUGUAAUAUCUGAACUGGGAAUAUUCACAGAUCUAAAAAACAGAGCAACUUUCCUUCGCCCACGUUUUGGAGAUGCGCGUUUUGUCAUGGGACACGUGUUUCACAAUUCAUAACGUUUAACGUGGCACCUUCUUAAUCAUAAUCUGUCAGAGACUUUCCAUUGUUUCCAUUCACGCAAAUAGGACUGAUUGUAAAAGUUAAUUAUUGAUGGUGGCAAAUCCCAACUUGAGCUCUUAACAGAGCUCUCACCGCUUUUCACCAGCAGAUAUUGAUGGAAGAAGUGCUUCCUUCCUUUACUUAAGUAAGAUUAGAAAUACUAUGGUCCAUAACACUCCAUGUUGGAUGUUUGUCAAUAAGGAGCCAAUUUUAGAGACUCUGUAUUCUACUGAUUAGAUUAUUACUGCAUCGUGUUAGGACAUUCUAUGUUAUUUAUGUCAAAAGCAAGUGGUAAAGGUAAAAGUAAAAGUCGUCGAGUAGAAAGUAGGAUGUUCCUCUGAAUGGUGUAAUGUGGCAAUUAAAUGAAUACAUGUACUUUAGUAUACAUUAAUUGAGUUAUUGUACUUAUAUUAAUCCCAGCAACCCAAGCAGCUGCAAACUGAGUAUGAAUCUAAAAAAAAUCGACAUUCGUGUGAUUUGGGAUUGGAUCCAGUCUCGGCUCUAAUAUGGUCUUUAAAGGGGAAAGUCUUCUAUUUGGG